AACGUACGCUGGCGGCACGCCUAACACAUGCAAGUCGAACGAAGUAGCAAUACUUAGUGGCAGACGGGUGAGUAACAUGUAGGUAUCUGCCCUUUGGCCUGGAAUAACACGAGGAAACUUGUGCUAAUACCGGAUAAGUCUUUACGGAGAAAGCUUUAUGCACCAUUGGAUGAGCCUGCACUUGAUUAGUUUGUUGGUGGGGUAAUGGCCUACCAAGACUGUGAUCAAUAGCUGAUUUGAGAGGAUGAUCAGCCACAUUGGGACUGAGACACGGCCCAAACUCCUACGGGAGGCAGCAGUGGGGAAUCUUGCACAAUGGAGGAAACUCUGAUGCAGCGAUGCCGCGUGAGUGAAGAAGGCCUUUGGGUUGUAAAGCUCUUUCGUCGGGGAAGAAAAUGACUGUACCCGAAUAAGAAGGUCCGGCUAACUUCGUGCCAGCAGCCGCGGUAAUACGAAGGGACCUAGCGUAGUUCGGAAUUACUGGGCUUAAAGAGUUCGUAGGUGGUUGAAAAAGUUAGUGGUGAAAUCCCAGAGCUUAACUCUGGAACUGCCAUUAAAACUUUUCAGCUAGAGUAUGAUAGAGGAAAGCAGAAUUUCUAGUGUAGAGGUGAAAUUCGUAGAUAUUAGAAAGAAUACCAAUUGCGAAGGCAGCUUUCUGGAUCAUUACUGACACUGAGGAACGAAAGCAUGGGUAGCGAAGAGGAUUAGAUACCCUCGUAGUCCAUGCCGUAAACGAUGUGUGUUAGACGUUGGAAAUUUAUUUUCAGUGUCGCAGGGAAACCGAUAAACACACCGCCUGGGGAGUACGACCGCAAGGUUAAAACUCAAAUGAAUUGACGGGGACCCGCACAAGUAGUGGAGCAUGUGGUUUAAUUCGAAGAUACGCGCAGAACCUUACCAACACUUGACAUGUUCGUCGCAACUCUAAGAGAUUAGAGUUUUCGGUUCGGCCGGACGAAACACAGGUGCUGCAUGGCUGUCGUCAGCUCGUGUCGUGAGAUGUUGGGUUAAGUCCCGCAACGAGCGCAACCCUCACUUUUAGUUGCCAUCAUUAAGUUGGGCACUCUGAAAGAACUGCCAGUGAUAAGCUGGAGGAAGGUGGGGAUGACGUCAAGUCCUCAUGGCCCUUACGUGUUGGGCUACACACGUGCUACAAUGGUAUCUACAACAGGAAGCAAGACUGCGAAGUUAAGCAAAUCCCUAAAAGAUACCUCAGUUCGGAUUGCACUCUGCAACUCGAGUGCAUGAAGCUGGAAUUACUAGUAAUCGUGGAUCAGCGUGCCACGGUGAAUGCGUUCCCGGGUCU
This 1306-nucleotide ribosomal RNA is filed under the name uncultured bacterium. RNAcentral describes it as "bacterial SSU rRNA". It matches the Rfam family "Bacterial small subunit ribosomal RNA", at positions 28 to 1381 of the family's 1533-position model. The record is from RNAcentral.